CUUGCCUCACGCUGGAGCUGGCUCUCCAGCCCGGAACCGCUGGCUCUGAUUGGCUGCGGCGGCCCCAAUGGAUGGCGGAGGAGACAAAGUGAUGGUUGCAGGUCGCCUGAGGUCCCACCCCGGCCACGUGCGGCUGCUGUGAUGACAGGUCUAGAGGGGCGGGACCUCGGCCCGCAGUCGGCGGCCUAGGCUGACCGGAUCCGGCCAGAGGUGGGGAGCCAGAACCAGCGCCAAAGCGUCAGCCUGCGGGUGCCAAGCCUGAGUAGGGCCCUCCUAGGCUUUCGAGCUGGUGUGAGCUGCCUGCGAAACUUGAACCUCUUAGUGAAGCCGUCUGCGUUAGCGCGCUUAUUUGCCCUAAUGGGGGAGGUCUGUGGGGUUUGCAAAGUAGUGCCAUGAGUCUCAGGAUUCUGUGAAAAUGCGGGAAUCUGAUUGGCGGGGUCUCAAGACUGUGAGGAUGAGCAGUUUCCGCAGCCUACGCUUUGCGGGAGAUUCUGAAUUUUGAGAGACUGGCAGUACGAGUCAGAUCUGUACCUGUGGAGGUAGGUCAGCAAGAAGUCUGUGAAUUUAUGAGCCUAAGUAUUAAUACGGAGUUAUGGGAGCCUGCAAUCGCCGGAGAAAAGAAGAGUCUUUGCUUUGUACAAGUGUCGAUUGAACUAUGUGACAGUUACGUAUAUUCUGUAUUUUAAUUAGCGCUUGAAUCUUCUCUCCAACUACCCCCAGCCCCACGGGUUCCCGAGAUACAGCAGGGGAAGUCGACGCUUUACGAGCUACCGGUAGAUGGCAGCACAGGACCCUUGCAGAACUCCGUGGCUCUGAGCUCGGGGCCUGGCGGGCUUCUCUCUGGAGCCAGCGGUAUUUAUGGCUGUGUGAUGGACUGGACAUGUUAAAGUUCUCUCAAAGUCUCAGAUUCUUUAGAUCUCUGUGACUUUCUUUCUGCUGCCUUAUGUUGCAGAAAAAUGGAGAACAAGAGAAUGGUCAUGUCCCAGGUCUCAGGAAUCGGUCUUUUUGCUAGCAGGAUUGUUUUAUUUCCCCAGUAAGAGCAACACAGUAGCCAAUUUAAAAACAAAGCAGGGACUUCCCUGGUGGUGCAGGGGUUAAGAGUCUGCCUGCUGGUGCGGGGGACGUAGG
This is a long non-coding RNA of Aethalodelphis obliquidens (Pacific white-sided dolphin), 1128 nucleotides long. RefSeq lists it as uncharacterized. The transcript has 3 exons. The record is from RefSeq and is a predicted model, not a curated record. NCBI's taxonomy places the organism in Eukaryota, Metazoa, Chordata, Mammalia, Artiodactyla, Delphinidae.